Molecule: long non-coding RNA, 1185 nt
Organism: Musca domestica (house fly)
Lineage: Eukaryota; Metazoa; Arthropoda; Insecta; Diptera; Muscidae
Exons: 3
Source: RefSeq, a predicted model, not a curated record
GCUAGCCUACCAUGCCAAGCAACCAACCGUGCAUUGCAAUGUCUGCUUGGUUUUAUUUAGUUUUUAUAUUUCACAUAAACCUGUAUUACAAAUUACUGACGUCGUUGUUGUUGCAAGUCAUUUUUAAUAUGUUGAGCAUAUGUUUGCUGGCAGAGAGCGAGCGAGCGAGCGUGUGAGAGCCAACGGUGUUUUGUUUCAAUUAUGGUGAGAGCGUGGACGACAACUAAAAUCGGAGUAAAACCAAAACAAGACACAAGCAACAAGCCGCCGCCGCCGCUGCACAUUAUUAAGUCAAAUAGCAAAACUUUAGUUAAACGAAGGAUAUCGUGGCGAGAGGUUGUUGACGAAAGAUCAAAACGGUUAAAUUUUUGAAAGCAAACAAAUAAAAACGGAAAAAGAAAUUGUAAAGCAAAAAAUCGACAGCAGAGUGUUGUGGCUACUAGUUGCGUUGUCGUUCGUGCAUUGCAUUGUGUACGUGUGUGUGUGUAAAUAUAUGGCCAAAGUGCAUAGUUGCAUUUUGAGCCAGGCAAUUUUGUUAGAAAACGAAAAUAUUAAACUACAAAUGUGAAUAAAAGUUAUUUAAAGAUUAUUAAUUAAAUGAAUAAUAGAAUUAAAAAAUACUGAAAAAUUCAAAAUAAAGAAAUUAGUUUUGGUGGCGUUGUAUCCACAACUCUAAAUAGAAAGGGGAAACCUACUGGAAAAGAAAUCUUUAAUGGAUAUUUAAAUUGUUGCUGCUAAUAAACUUAAAUAUUUAUAAAGAAAACUAAUCUCUGCGGAUUUUUUUUCAUUUUGGAUAAAAUCACUUUUACUUUCUAACAAUUUUUGUGUGCAAAGUGAAUAUAAAACGAAAAGUUUUUGUUUGAAAAUAGAUUACAAAAAAACACCGAAAAGUUAUAAUUAAAAUUUUGGAAAAUCAAAACGAAGUGAAAGAAAACCAAUUUCUUUUCGAAGGUGCAUAACGAAUUACACAAAAAAUAUAUAUGAAAUAUUAUGAAUGAUUAUUAAAUCAAUGGUUCUGUGAAAUAUUCGAGGAUUUCUCAAUCAAAAACCCAGCAACAAAUGGAUUAAAAAACGAACUGUUUUUGGAAGAAAAACUGGAGUAAUUUGAAGUCAAGUGUUUCUUUCGACGAAUUUUCAUGGCAUCUGUCAGAAUCUAAACGAAUUUUGUAAGUAUAAUUUUUAAAA